Molecule: ribosomal RNA, 253 nt
Filed under: uncultured bacterium
Lineage: Bacteria
Description: partial 16S ribosomal RNA
Rfam family: Bacterial small subunit ribosomal RNA
Source: RNAcentral
UACGGGGGGGGCAAGCGUUGUUCGGAAUUACUGGGCGUAAAGGGCUCGUAGGCGGCCAACUAAGUCGGAUGUGAAAUCCCCAGGCUUAACCUGGGAACUGCAUCCGAUACUGGAUGGCUUGAAUCCGGGAGAGGGAUGCGGAAUUCCAGGUGUAGCGGUGAAAUGCGUAGAUAUCUGGAGGAACACCGGUGGCGAAGGCGGCGACCUGGGUAGAUACUGACGCUGAGGUGCGAAAGCGUGGGGAGCAAACAGG